CCGCAAGUCGCAUGCUGAUGUGCCUUGCCCAUGUCAUCCAUCCCCCCGGCACCCCCAGCCCGCCCAGUCGAUGUGCUCGUUGAAGCCGAGCCGCGCUUCAGGACCCGAAUGCGCUGUCCCUCCGCCUCCACCCCGGCCACGGCAGGAGCACUUUCCUCAAACAGACAACGAGCCCCGGCCAAACGAAGAGGAAUACCAUCGGCUUCGCCGAGUGAGGAUAUCAUCACUUAUGCUGCUCGGAAGUGCUGCAUUAUCGGGCCUUUAAAAAAUAAAACCCAUGACCAAGGGAGAUAAGUCUGAAGUCCCUUCUCCCUGUGGACUCCUUGCCGCUGUCCAAGUCCAGACUUCUCGCCUUCCUUUGUCGCGUUACCUGCAUGGCCGAGAGCCUCUCUCCGACUGUCUACACAAUAAACGUGCUCGCUGUUUUUUUUUUCCCGGCGUCUUUGGCUGCUUUAAAUGUCCACAUGAUAAGCCACUGGAUUGGUCUUAUCAUUCGUGGCCAGGUCCCUUCUGAAAGAGAGCUGCAGUAUAUAGCUGGGUGGGCUAUAUUUGGUAAAAUAAAAUUUAGUUUUGUUUUAAAUAAAUUUAGUUUAUAUG
Petromyzon marinus (sea lamprey) is the source of this 597-nucleotide long non-coding RNA. RefSeq lists it as uncharacterized. The record is from RefSeq and is a predicted model, not a curated record. Lineage: Eukaryota; Metazoa; Chordata; Hyperoartia; Petromyzontiformes; Petromyzontidae.